Molecule: transfer RNA, 81 nt
Filed under: Grifola frondosa (maitake)
Lineage: Eukaryota; Fungi; Basidiomycota; Agaricomycetes; Polyporales; Grifolaceae
Description: tRNA-Ser
Rfam family: tRNA
About the family: Transfer RNA (tRNA) molecules are approximately 80 nucleotides in length. Their secondary structure includes four short double-helical elements and three loops (D, anti-codon, and T loops).
Source: RNAcentral
GGAAAAGUUUUCAUUAGGUAAGUUAAAAUGAUUGCUAAUUGUUGAGGAAAACUCUUAGGGGUUCGAAUCCCCUCUUUUCCG